RNAcentral lists this ribosomal RNA (345 nucleotides) under Tylolaimophorus typicus. Its description in RNAcentral is "SSU rRNA". It matches the Rfam family "Eukaryotic small subunit ribosomal RNA", at positions 594 to 945 of the family's 1831-position model. The record is from RNAcentral. Lineage: Eukaryota; Metazoa; Nematoda; Enoplea; Triplonchida; Diphtherophoridae.
AUAGCGUAUAUUAAAAUUGUUGCGGUUAAAAAGCUCGUAGUUGGAUCUGCGUGGCUCUCGAGCGGUCCGCCGUUGGCUGGUACUGCUUCGAAGCUGCUAAUCAUUCGGUUCAUCCCUUGAUGCUCUUCACUGAGUGUCUUGGGUGUCCGGAACGUUUACUUUGAAAAAAUUAGAGUGCUCAAAGCAGGCUCUAAGCCUGAAUAUUCGUGCAUGGAAUAAUAAAAGAGGUCCUCGUGGCCUUUUGUUGGUUAUCGCUUCGAGGAAAUGAUCGAAGGGGACAGACGGGGGCAUUCGUAUUGCGGCGUUAGAGGUGAAAUUCUUGGAUCGCCGCAAGACGUACAAUUG